RNAcentral lists this ribosomal RNA (367 nucleotides) under alpha proteobacterium '5.5 MW-12'. Its description in RNAcentral is "bacterial SSU rRNA". It matches the Rfam family "Bacterial small subunit ribosomal RNA", at positions 37 to 432 of the family's 1533-position model. The record is from RNAcentral. Lineage: Bacteria; Pseudomonadati; Pseudomonadota; Alphaproteobacteria.
UGGCGGCAUGCCUAACACAUGCAAGUCGAACGAAGCCUUCGGGCUUAGUGGCGCACGGGUGCGUAACGCGUGGGAAUCUGCCCUUGGGUUCGGAAUAACAGUUAGAAAUGACUGCUAAUACCGGAUGAUGUCUUCGGACCAAAGAUUUAUCGCCCAAGGAUGAGCCCGCGUAGGAUUAGGUAGUUGGUGGGGUAAAGGCCUACCAAGCCGACGAUCCUUAGCUGGUCUGAGAGGAUGAUCAGCCACACUGGGACUGAGACACGGCCCAGACUCCUACGGGAGGCAGCAGUGGGGAAUAUUGGACAAUGGGCGAAAGCCUGAUCCAGCAAUGCCGCGUGAGUGAUGAAGGCCUUAGGGUCGUAAAGCU